Molecule: ribosomal RNA, 301 nt
Filed under: uncultured bacterium
Lineage: Bacteria
Description: partial 16S ribosomal RNA
Rfam family: Bacterial small subunit ribosomal RNA
Source: RNAcentral
CAGUAGCCACGGGAAUACAGAGGGUGCGAGCGUUAAUCGGAUUUACUGGGCGUAAAGCGUGCGUAGGCGGCUUUUUAAGUCGGAUGUGAAAUCCCUGAGCUUAACUUAGGAAUUGCAUUCGAUACUGGGAAGCUAGAGUAUGGGAGAGGAUGGUAGAAUUCCAGGUGUAGCGGUGAAAUGCGUAGAGAUCUGGAGGAAUACCGAUGGCGUAGGCAGCCAUCUGGCCUAAUACUGACGCUGAGGUACGAAAGCAUGGGGAGCAAACAGGAUUAGAUACCCCUGUAGUCCCUGUCUCUUAUAC